This 460-nucleotide ribosomal RNA is filed under the name uncultured bacterium. RNAcentral describes it as "partial 16S ribosomal RNA". It matches the Rfam family "Bacterial small subunit ribosomal RNA", at positions 338 to 795 of the family's 1533-position model. The record is from RNAcentral.
CCUACGGGCGGCAGCAGUGAGGAAUAUUGGUCAAUGGGCGGAAGCCUGAACCAGCCAAGUCGCGUGAGGGAAUAAGGCCCUACGGGUCGUAAACCUCUUUUGCCGGGGAGCAAGGGCGGGGACGUGUCCCGGCCCGGAGAGUACCCGGAGAAAAAGCAUCGGCUAACUCCGUGCCAGCAGCCGCGGUAAUAAGGGGGAUGCGAGCGUGAUCCGGAUUGAUUGGGUUUGAAGGGUGCGUAGGCGGGCCUUUAAGUCAGCGGGAAAAAGUCGGGGCGCAACCCCGUCCGGCCGUUGAGACGGGGGGCCUUGAGUGGGCGAGAAGAAGGCGGAAUGCGUGGUGUAGCGGUGAAAUGCAUAGAUAUCACGCAGAACCCCGAUUGCGAAGGCAGCCUUCCGGCGCCCUACUGACGCUGAGGCACGAAAGUGCGGGGAUCGAACAGGAUUAGAUACCCGUGUAGUC